GAUGAAGAUCGUAGUGAAAUGCGAUAAGUAAUGUGAAUUGCAGAAUUCAGUGAAUCAUCGAAUCUUUGAACGCACAUUGCGCCCGUCAGUAUUCUGGCGGGCAUGCCUGUUCGAGCGUCAUUACGCCCCUCAAGUCCCCUGUGGACUUGGUGUUGGGGAUCGGCGAGGCUGGUUUUCCAGCACAGCCGUCCCUUAAAUUAAUUGGCGGUCUCGCCGUGGCCCUCCUCUGCGCAGUAGUAAAACACUCGCAACAGGAGCCCGGCGCGGUCCACUGCCGUAAAACCCCCCAACUUUUUAUAGUUGACCUCGAAUCAGGUAGGACUACCCGCUGAACUUAAGCAUAUCAAUAAGCGGAGGA
This 358-nucleotide unclassified non-coding RNA is filed under the name soil metagenome. RNAcentral's name for it is "partial contains 5.8S ribosomal RNA, internal transcribed spacer 2, and large subunit ribosomal RNA". The stretch from base 1 to 120 matches the Rfam family "5.8S ribosomal RNA", at positions 35 to 154 of the family's 154-position model. The record is from RNAcentral.